UACACUCCUGCGGGAGGCAGCAGUGGGGAAUUUUGGACAAUGGGCGAAAGCCUGAUCCAGCAAUGCCGCGUGAGUGAAGAAGGCCUUCGAGUUGUAAAGCUCUUUUGUCAGGGAAGAAACGGUGAGAGCUAAUAUCUCUUGCUAAUGACGGUACCUGAAGAAUAAGCACCGGCUAACUACGUGCCAGCAGCCGCGGUAAUACGUAGGGUGCAAGCGUUAAUCGGAAUUACUGGGCGUAAAGCGUGCGCAGGCGGUUUUGUAAGUCUGAUGUGAAAUCCCCGGGCUCAACCUGGGAAUUGCAUUGGAGACUGCAAGGCUAGAAUCUGGCAGAGGGGGGUAGAAUUCCACGUGUAGCAGUGAAAUGCGUAGAUAUGUGGAGGAACACCGAUGGCGAAGGCAGCCCCCUGGGUCAAGAUUGACGCUCAUGCACGAAAGCGUGGGGAGCAAACAGGAUUAGAAACCCGGGUAGUCCCAUGA
Molecule: ribosomal RNA, 477 nt
Filed under: uncultured organism
Description: partial 16S ribosomal RNA
Rfam family: Bacterial small subunit ribosomal RNA
Source: RNAcentral